AAUUCUGUCACCUUGUUGGGAGCUAUUAAGACAACACUAUUGUCCUGAUCUCUAAAUUGGGCCUCUCCCCCCCCCCCACCGAGAAGAAAAGGGGUCAAAAGCGGGCCACUGACACAUGGAUUCCGAGAACAACCACGAGAUGUUCCAGCCCUAAGUCAUCUCUGAUGUCCUGACCACACCCUGAUACCACCAAGUUCCUGCUUCCCCGUGUAACUGCCUAAGAAUGUGCAAUUCUAUUGCCCCCCACUCCCACUGAUAAGUACUUCUCCUUUUGCUUGUAUUGCCCUACCCCUCCCACUGAUAAGUAUCUGUACUUCCUCUUUUGCUUGUGCAUUUAAACCUCGGGCCUAAUACAUUUGCGGCCUUGAUGCAUUCC
RNAcentral lists this long non-coding RNA (376 nucleotides) under Mus musculus (house mouse). Its description in RNAcentral is "long non-coding RNA chr2:150549528-150549904". The record is from RNAcentral. Lineage: Eukaryota; Metazoa; Chordata; Mammalia; Rodentia; Muridae.